UGGGGAAUAUUGCGCAAUGGGCGAAAGCCUGACGCAGCAACGCCGCGUGAGUGAUGAAGGCCUUCGGGUCGUAAAGCUCUGUCGGAGGGAACGAAUGCUCUUGAGGUUAACAGCCUCGGGAGGUGACGGUACCCUCAAAGGAAGCACCGGCUAACUCUGUGCCAGCAGCCGCGGUAAUACGUAGGGUGCAGGCGUUAAUCGGAAUUACUGGGCGUAAAGCGUGCGCAGGCGGCUCCUUAAGUCAGAUGUGAAAUCCCCGGGCUUAACCUGGGAACUGCGUUUGAAACUGAGGGGCUAGAGUGUGGAAGAGGGGGGUGGAAUUCCAGGUGUAGCAGUGAAAUGCGUAGAGAUCUGGAGGAACACCGAUGGCGAAGGCAGCCCCCUGGGCUAACACUGACGCUCAUGCACGAAAGCGUGGGGAGCAAACAGGAUUAGAUACCCUUGUAGUCCCUGAGCGGGCUGGCAAGGCGC
RNAcentral lists this ribosomal RNA (471 nucleotides) under uncultured bacterium. RNAcentral's name for it is "bacterial SSU rRNA". It matches the Rfam family "Bacterial small subunit ribosomal RNA", at positions 355 to 823 of the family's 1533-position model. The record is from RNAcentral.